This 587-nucleotide long non-coding RNA is filed under the name Pan troglodytes (chimpanzee). Its description in RNAcentral is "long non-coding RNA NONPTRT011609". The record is from RNAcentral. Lineage: Eukaryota; Metazoa; Chordata; Mammalia; Primates; Hominidae.
AAGGCUUUUACUCAUUAAAUACAGGUAUUGUCUUGCAUUUAUGAAAUAUUUUUUAAAAAUAUUUUAUUUGUCCAUGGCAGUUAAUUCAGCCAGAUGGAUGGUUGGACAGAUGUUUUGUGUGUUUGUGUGUAAACAUUCUUCCUGUUUUUUGUUUUGUAGAACACAAGAAAUUAAAUACAAAAUAAUGCAAAAUAUUUCAUAAGUAUGGAUGUGCAAUAUUACUGGCCAUAGUGCAAAAGGUGAAAGGCAUUUACUGUACAUUUCUCCCGAGAAAAGAGUGAGAUCGUGUCAUCUCAUGCUCCCCAUCCGCAGGUCACUUCCUGUAGAAAUAUGGACUAACUUAAACCUCGUGAGUACUGAUCUGAGCAUCUCUUGCAGCCUGUAGUAUAAGAAACCCACCCUGGGAUUUUAUGAUAGCUGUGGAAUUAGAAGGCGGGAAAUUAACUUUUAUUUCCUGAAUUUGUGUGUGCAUUGCGUAUUUUAUAAAGGCUAAGUCUGAUUCCUUUAUAAUAUUCCUUCUAGAAGGAAGAAUGAGGUAUUUUUCAGUCAUCAUGUAAUAAAAGCCUGGGGUCUUCAGCUUGGCCAUA